Molecule: RNA transcript, 2539 nt
Organism: Triticum dicoccoides
Lineage: Eukaryota; Viridiplantae; Streptophyta; Magnoliopsida; Poales; Poaceae
Exons: 3
Source: RefSeq, a predicted model, not a curated record
CCAGCACGCCACCGCGACCUCCCCUCUCCCCCAGGCGCCGUCGUCUCCCCACCUUUUCCCUCAGCUCCGGCCACCGCCCCCACCCUCUCCCCGGCUCCGGCCGCUGCCCCCACCCUCUCCCUCGGCUCCGGCCGCCGCCCCGACCUUCUCCCUGGGCUCCGGCCACUGCCCCGCACUCCAACCACGGAUCGACCCAUCGUCGUUGCCCUGCACCAGAUCGCGCCACCCAGAACCACCCGUCGCCACCACGUCCUCCCCGCGCUGCCGCUAUCUCUCCUUGCUCCACCGCCAGCCGAGCACCUCCUCACCUCCAUUGUUGUUCAGCACUUCCUCCAGUUCCUCCCGUGAGGGCUGCGCUCAUCCACUCCUACUGCUGAUCGAGCUCACUCCAAUCCCUCCACCAUGCUACCUCCUCCCGCUGAUGAGGCUCCGUUGAUGCAGCGCCCCGGCCGUUCACUGUCACCACCCCGGGCCGUUCAACGAGACAGCGCCAAGUCGUUCGACACCGCAGCUCGGGAGGCUGCCUCCUUUGACAGCUCCUGAUCUCUGGAACUGCCAUGGCUCCCUUCCGGCACAACUCGCUGUCGACAACCUCCUUUGACAGCUCGCCUUUGAGGCCCACCAGACUCACACGACGACGCUGGCCGUCCACAGCCACCACCACAGGCCGUUCACAGCCACCACUCAUGGCCGUUCACAAAAAACACCCCAAAGUGCAUACCAUACAUGAGGACAAGGGUGAGGAGCCAGGAGGAGGCAGCAGGAAAGAGCUAAGCGAUCUUCAGUUCACGUUUGCUACGAUUUUCAGUCCAGCCGGCUUACUAUUUCAUCACCAGGGUAACUAAAAAGCUCUGCGUCUGAUAGAAUAUCUCUUGUUAUAACUUUUAAAUUUGUCUAGAUGCGAGGAACAAAAUCUCCAGCGAACUUUUGCUUUGCUGAUAUAAAUCAAGCUCUGUUUUGUUGUUGAGAAACAACAGUAUGUUAGCAGCAGGAGUUAAAAAAUCAGCUGCUUUCAACUAAAUCAAAAUGUGUCGCGCAAGUUCAGGUAUACCUGCUGCAGGAGUUCAAAAAGCUGAAGAAACGAAGCUCAAACCAAGUUUAAAAACUGUUUCCUAGUUGUUUUUGGUUAAUUCGUUGUUAUGGACAGUAAAAAAUACACACUGUUGUGUAAUGCAUGUGUGUAUUGUAAUUGUAAUUGUGGUUUGGAGUUCAGGAAAAGAUAACAAAAAGGGACGCGGCGAUUCGGUGCUCAGGCUCAUCUUCACCUGAUAUCUAGGACGUUGGCUGAUGCGUUGGGAUUGGGAAAAGAAGGACAGACGCGUCAGAGCUGGUUCCACCGAAAAGUAAAAUACAGUCCCUAUACGGGCGUGUUGUGACGGUUUUCGCCCGGGUUCCCGUUAAUUAAUCGGGCAAUUCUCUUCUACUUAAUCAAUGAAAAUGGCAAAUCUUUUGCCUCGUUCCAAAAAAAAGAAUAUUUGUAUUUCGGUCAAAAUUGCAUUGGGCAAAAUAUUUAAGUAAACGUGAAUUUGAGCAGAUUUAAGUAGAACACAAAUUUCAUCCAACUCUGGUUAUAUUUCAGUCAAAGUCAAGUCAGAUUUUUUUUUUCACUCGGCCAGACUGAACCGAAAUAACAAUGCGGUUGAUUUCAGUGAUGGCCCAAUUCUGAUCGCAAUCGAGAAAAUGAGCUGUGAUAAAACAUUCCAUAGAUCCAAAGUACAUUAUGGUCAACUGUAUUCCCUCCUCACAAAAUAUCAUUAGUGGAUUCGUAAGGAUUGCGACUUCUUUUAGUUAUCUUUAUUAUUAUUCUUUGUUGCGACUGGUGCUACUGUGCAUUAUAUUUUUCUUAAAACACUUGGUUCUUGGGUUGAUCCAUUAGGAUGAUGGUGCAGUAGCCAUUGUACUUAAGAACUUAAAGGCUGAUCUCGGCAACAUACGCAACGAGGUAAAUCCACAUUGUGAACUGAUAACCAAACAGUCAGUCUUUUACUUCCAAUUCUCUGUUGGCAAUCUCACAGAUAUGAAUUGUCUCAAUUCUCUUAGGUUAUCAGAAUGAUUGCUGGCAUGUCUGAAGAUCAAACAUGCAUUGCCACCUGGGAUGUGCCUGAAACAGUUGAAGGGAAAAUGAUUUGCCUAUUCCUGUGACAAAAUUGAUGUGUGCAUGGCUCUCUUGUCCCUUAACAAAAUUGAUGUGCAAGUCCCAGCAGGUUCCAAUCAAGUUAACGGCUUUUCUUCUGGUACUUUGAUGGCUUGAUUAUUUAGGAGGAUCGAUGCCUGAAAACAGGAGUUCAUGUGCAGAACAAAGAAGCAGAGAUGAAGAGGUGUCAAGAUAAAGGAACUCACAUGGGAAAUUCUGAAUCUUCAAGGCUCGUUUCAUGUAUUUAAUAUUUUGAACUGUUAAAGAUGUUAUUGUACUUUUUGUCUAUUGAUAUGUGUUUAGAAUAAUUAUUCACAGUAAAAUCUGUGUUUAGAAUAACUAUUGAAGAUGAUAUUACAUGGGAUUCAGCUUCUAUGCCUAGAAUAAGUAUUCACAGUAAAAUCU